Boleophthalmus pectinirostris (great blue-spotted mudskipper) is the source of this 1254-nucleotide long non-coding RNA. RefSeq lists it as uncharacterized. The record is from RefSeq and is a predicted model, not a curated record. Lineage: Eukaryota; Metazoa; Chordata; Actinopteri; Gobiiformes; Gobiidae. The transcript has 3 exons.
GUGGAAGUCAACCUUACUUUGUUCAUCACGGACAGUGGGGGUACUCCGUGUACCCCUGCCGCCAACACAGUCUCCGAGGACUACUAAAAGUUGUGUGGGGAACAACAGUGUCUAUUGCUGUCAAAAUCAGCAAGAUAUGGUGGUCUGCAAGUACAUACACAGCGAGAGGAUGAUGUGGAGACUGGUCACUACUAGAUGAUCACAGUACCUCGAUCAUUAGUGGACCUGUGUCAGCUACUAUCAGCUCAGUGGAUGAACAGUGACGCUUCACUGGGCAGGUCUCUCCUCACUCACUCCCUCAAAAGAGAGAAAAGGCUCCACUUCCACUCACACAAGCGCAACAAAGGCUAAAUGAGUCUCUGGACACCAUUCUGGGGUUGUUCUGAAAAGCCACUGUUCAGGUUUAGGGACACAACAACAGAGCCAGAAUGACUUCUUUGUGCUCCGACUCCACUGCCUGAGAUGAGACAUUUCCGCCCGACUCUUAAAAAGCUUGUUAAUUAGCUGCAGUGGGGAGCUGAAAUCGUUAAUGCCUUUAGCAAUGGUGGUACAAGCUAUAUACAUUUACUUCAAUCAAUAGAGUGCUAUGUCUUAGCAACUUCUUCACACAUAUUCUUACUUACACGUGUUGACUUUCAUUCAUAAGUUUAAGAAUAACAAUGAAACCACACACUACUUUUUACAUUUUGCUUUAGACUGUUAACUGUAUAAUACAUAAAAAUAAGACACUACUGAAACAUAAAUUGCUUUUUGUAAUUUUGCCUUUACCUUCUAUUUUAGAAGCAGAUGUUCUUUGUUGGCAUAACUUGAAAUUUUGACAAAUAUCUCACAUUAGCGAUGUUUAGUGAAAACACAUCCUGAUGUAAAGACCUCAGUUCACACCUAACAGAGCCCCGAGGACACCACAAUAGAGAAGAGACACUUCCACAUGCGACGGAAAGUUCAAAGAAUUUUUUACUUUAGAAAUUCAAUAACUGAACAAACACUUAAUUUUGGACUGCACUAAUUCCAGAUAUUCAGUAUACCUUGGUCAGCAAAACAUUGUGUGCUUGCAGGUAAACCAUUUCUAGGUCACAGAGACAUACAGUAAGUAUGUUGACUGGAAGAUAAAUCAGAAGCAUCAUGAAAUUUCAAUGUGAUUGGCUAGAAUUAGCAAAUUAUAACCAACCAACCAUGCAACCAACACAAUAUUCUGUCUUUAUAAGAUGUUAUUAUUAUGUAACCUGAAAAGCAUUGUACACACUAUAAACAUGU